UGUAUUUGGCAACAAUAUACUAGAAUUGGAAGGAUAAAGAGAAGAUUAGCAUGGCCCCUGCGCAAGGAUGACA
Molecule: small nuclear RNA, 73 nt
Filed under: Peromyscus maniculatus bairdii (prairie deer mouse)
Lineage: Eukaryota; Metazoa; Chordata; Mammalia; Rodentia; Cricetidae
Source: RNAcentral